ACAUACCUCGAGCCGAUGACGGUUCGUCGUUGGGCGUCGCCGGCCUGAGCCGUCGCGCCCCAAAGCCAACGGGCGGUCCCCCAGGAUUCAAAUCUCUCCCCCGGAAACCGCGUGCAAAGGAUCGCGGCCGGGGAGGGGGUUCCAUAGGGGACUUCGUCUUACUCUCCGUUAUCGUUCCCACCUGAACGAUCGGACGCA
This 198-nucleotide unclassified non-coding RNA is filed under the name uncultured Ascomycota. RNAcentral's name for it is "sequence contains ITS2". The record is from RNAcentral. Lineage: Eukaryota; Fungi; Ascomycota.